AUUGAACGCUGGCGGCAGGCCUAACACAUGCAAGUCGAGCGAGCGGCGGACGGGUGAGUAAUGUAUGGGGCCUGCCCGAUAGAGGGGGAUAACUACUGGAAACGGUGGCUAAUACCGCAUACUAUCGGAUAACCCAUAUGGGAUUAGCUAGUAGGUGGGGUAAAGGAUCACCUAGGCGACGAUCUCUAGCUGGUCUGAGAGGAUGAUCAGCAAAACGGGAACUGAGAACGGGCCAAGACGCCUACGGAGCCAGAGGUGGGGAAUAUUGCACAAGGGGCGCAAGCCGGAUGCAGCAAUGCCGCGUGUAGGAAGAGGGCCUUAGGGUUGAAAAGUCCUUUCGGCGGGAAGGCGUUACCCGCAGAAGAAGCACCGGCUAACUCCGUGCCAGCAGCCGCGGUAAUUC
This 403-nucleotide ribosomal RNA is filed under the name uncultured bacterium. RNAcentral's name for it is "partial 16S ribosomal RNA". It matches the Rfam family "Bacterial small subunit ribosomal RNA", at positions 29 to 526 of the family's 1533-position model. The record is from RNAcentral.